CACGUAGGGCGCGAGCGUUGUCCGGAAUUAUUGGGCGUAAAGAGCUCGUAGGCGGCCUGUUGCGUCCGCUGUGAAAGCCCGGGGCUUAACCCCGGGUCUGCAGUGGAUACGGGCAGGCUAGAGGUAGGUAGGGGAGAAUGGAAUUCCCGGUGUAGCGGUGAAAUGCGCAGAUAUCGGGAGGAACACCGGUGGCGAAGGCGGUUCUCUGGGCCUUACCUGACGCUGAGGAGCGAAAGCGUGGGUAGCAAACAGG
This 253-nucleotide ribosomal RNA is filed under the name uncultured bacterium. RNAcentral describes it as "partial 16S ribosomal RNA". It matches the Rfam family "Bacterial small subunit ribosomal RNA", at positions 524 to 776 of the family's 1533-position model. The record is from RNAcentral.